GGGUGCGGAGCGGAGGAGGGUGACGGUGUCCCCGGUGGGACAAGGAGGAACGGGUGUGUUGGCAUCCUCCAGCGCCAGGAAUAACCUGCUUGUGCCUAUCUCUGCUUCCCAAGCAUGGAUGGAACAGGGACAGGCAGUACUGGGGGAGCACUGGGCAAGUCCCUGCAGGUAUGGAGCUGCCUGGAUGGUGUUCCAGGGACCUGGAAGCUGCUCAUUGCUUCCUGCUAUUUGUUAUGGGGCUUUGGUGCCUUGUGGCCGUGUCCUUGUGCUGGGACAAGGAGGAGGAAAGGGCUCUCAGGGGGUGCCCUGUGAUACUGUAUGAGAGCAGAAGGGAAAGGCAGAGCUCAAACAAGCCCUAAUUCAGCUCAAUGAGGGGGAAUAGGGGUUCUUCAAACCCCAACUGACCCAUAAAGUCACUGCUGAGCUCUGUGCCCUUGAAUGCUUCAUCUCCAUGCUUGGUAACACCGUGUUUGGGGUGCAGCCCCCCAAACAUCCCAUUGGAAGGGCUGGAGGUGCCUGUGCUGUGUGGGGUUUGUUCCUUCCCUUCUCUUCUGUAUGGCUGCUUUAUGGCUUGGCCUGAAUGGGAUGGUUUGGGUGACGUUCAUGAACCCCAACCUUUGCUCACCCUGCAGAGAGGUGUUUUCUACCCCUUGAGCUGGCUCAGGGGGAUUACAGUCGGUUCAUGGUGUUCUUUACCUCCAGGGUUGUUGGUUUAUGGGUGUCUCUUGCAGCAGGAGGGGGUUGGUCUGGCACAAGUUAAACCUCUGCCUUCAUUCCCAUCACUUCAGGCUGGAUUUCACUGUCAAGGGAAGCCUCAAUGCAUCCAAAGCCUCAGAGCAUCAGGCAAAGGGAACCCCAACUCAUUGGGUUUGCGUUGGAUGUGCUGGGGUUAAUGCUGUGAGCAUGUUAAUGUCCUGCCUUUCCUAAGGAGCCUAUUGAGGAGUAAAUACCCUAAAAUCCC
Long non-coding RNA from Melopsittacus undulatus (budgerigar), 961 nucleotides. RefSeq lists it as uncharacterized. The transcript has 2 exons. Lineage: Eukaryota; Metazoa; Chordata; Aves; Psittaciformes; Psittaculidae. The record is from RefSeq and is a predicted model, not a curated record.